AUGGCUGCACUGCUCUUUCUAGCCCUUCUUUCAUCUCUCUCCUUCCACCUUUGCUCUUGCGUUUCUGCUUCCCCAUGGCAGACCAUGACCACCGGCUCAUACAUGAGACCAGAAGACCAUGACAGAAUCUUUCUCCUCUCACCAGACACCACCUUCUCCUGCGGCUUCCAUCGAGUUGGGACAAAUGCUUUCACCUUCUCCAUCUGGUACACCGCCAUGAAAACGGUUGUCUGGACGGCAAAUCCCUACUCCGCAGCAAAUGGCUACUAUUCCCCGGUGAACCUUCACGGCUCCAGAAUAUCGCUGAACCAGGAUGGAAACCUGGUCCUGGCAGAUACAAAUGGCUCCAUGGUAUGGGAAAGCAAGACAUCUUCAGGUAAGCACACAAUUGUUUCCCUGCUCGACACUGGCAACCUUGUAAUCAAUGAUUCGAGCAAUAAAGUCGUAUGGCAGAGCUUUGAUUCACCAACAGACACCUUGCUCCCUUGGCAGAAACUCAAGAAAGACAUAAGGUUAGCCUCUGGUUACCAUCACCUCUACUUUGACAACGACAAUGUCUUGCGCCUGUUGUAUGAUGGCCCAGAUAUUACAAGCAUCUACUGGCCAAGUCCAGAUUACGAUGCACAGAAAAAUGGGCGCAAUAGAUAUAACAGCACCAGGGUCGCAUUUCUGGACGACAAGGGUAAUUUUGUGUCAAGUGAUGGGUUUAAAAUAGUGGCUUCAGAUUCAGGCCCUGGGAUCAAGAGGAGGAUUACAAUUGAUCAUGAUGGCAAUUUUAGAAUGUACAGCUUGGAUGCGUCAGCAAGGAAAUGGGUGGUUACAGGGCAGGCUGUAAUACAGAUGUGCUAUGUGCACGGAUUGUGCGGCAAGAAUGGGCUUUGUGACUACUCAGAAGGCCUUAAAUGUAGAUGUCCUCCAGAAUAUGUGAUGGUUGAUCCAACAGACUGGAACAAGGGAUGCAAACCAACAUUCACAAUUGGCAGCAAUCAACCACAUGAUAACUUUACAUUUGUUAAGCAACCUCAUGCAGACUUCUAUGGCUUUGAUCUGGGUUCUAAUCAAUCCAUCUCAUUUGAAGCAUGUUGGGACAUUUGCCUCAACAGCAGCUCAUGUAUAUCUUUCACAUACAAGGGUGGAGAUGGUUGGUGUUAUACUAAAAACAUACUCUACAACGGUCAGGUGUACCCAUAUUUCCCAGGAGACAACUACAUGAAAGUACCAAAGAGUUUCAAUGGUUCAGCGUCCUCGAUCUCCAAACAGGAAGGCCUAACCUGCAGACCCAGUGGUUCAGAGAUUAUGCUAGGAUCAGCAAAUAUGUAUGGAAUCAAGAAGGACAACAUAAAGUGGAUAUACUUAUAUGUCUUUGGUGCAAUACUGGGAGUUCUAGAGUUGCUUGUCAUUGUGACAGGAUGGUGUCUUUUUUUCAGAAAGAGUAACAUGCCCAAAUCAAUGGAGGAUGGAUACAAGAUGAUAACAAACCAGUUCAGGCGGUUUACAUACCGAGAAUUGAGGGAAGCAACUGGAAAGUUCAAAGAAGAGAUUGGGAGAGGGGGUGCUGGAAUUGUUUACAGAGGAGUACUUGAAGAUAAGAAAAUAGUGGCAGUAAAGAAACUCACAAAUGUCCAACAGGGAGAAGAGGAAUUCUGGGCAGAAGUGACUCUAAUUGGAAGGAUCAAUCACAUAAAUUUGGUCAGGAUGAUGGGAUUUUGCUCAGAAGGGAAAAACAGAUUAUUAGUAUAUGAGUAUGUGGAGAAUGAGUCACUGGACAAGUACCUCUUUGGCGAGAGAAGUACUGAAAGUCUGCUCGAUUGGAACCAAAGGUACAAGAUCGCUGUGGGUGCAGCAAGGGGUCUUGCUUAUCUUCAUCAUGAAUGCCUUGAGUGGAUCGUCCAUUGUGACGUGAAGCCAGAAAACAUACUCCUAACUCGAGAUUUCGGUGCCAAAAUAGCAGACUUUGGACUAGCCAAGCUUGCGAAGCGAGACAGCGCUAGCUUCAAUUUCACCCAUAUGAGAGGCACAAUGGGCUACAUGGCACCAGAAUGGGCAUUGAAUACCCCGAUCAAUGCGAAGGUUGAUGUUUACAGCUACGGUGUUGUGCUUCUGGAGAUUGUGACUGGAGCUAGGGUUUCAAGUGGCAUAAUGGUCGACGGAAGACAAGUGGAGUUUCCAGACUUCAUCCAGGAGGCCAAACAGAUUCUGGCUACUGAGAGGAUCACUGAUCUAGUGGAUCCCAGAUUGAAAGGGAAUUUCGAUCUAGAGCAGGCAACUGCAAUAGUGAGAAUAGCUGUUGCAUGCCUUGGAGGUAGAUGCGAGAGGCCGACAAUGGACGAGAUUCUGAAGGCUCUUAUGUCAUAUGAUGAUGAAGACGACCAUCCUGCCUAUUCAUAUUGA
RNAcentral lists this ribosomal RNA (2391 nucleotides) under Triticum aestivum (bread wheat). Its description in RNAcentral is "partial small subunit ribosomal RNA". The record is from RNAcentral. Lineage: Eukaryota; Viridiplantae; Streptophyta; Magnoliopsida; Poales; Poaceae.